This 30-nucleotide non-coding RNA is filed under the name Mus musculus (house mouse). The record is from RNAcentral. Lineage: Eukaryota; Metazoa; Chordata; Mammalia; Rodentia; Muridae.
UGAGUCCUCAAACGAUUUGCACCAGCUGGU